CGCUAAAGCUGGGAGAGCAGCGUAGGUAAGACAGGGAGUGAAAGCGGUAUUCGGAUUCACUGGUGCGAAAGUGGGCGAAGGCAGGUGGUCGUGGAAGAUGAGAAAUCUCAAGGCUUAACCUCGGAACUGCGUCUGAAACUACUCGGCCAGAGUAUUGGAGAGGGUAACUGAAUUCACGGUGUAGCAGUGAAAUGCGUAGAUAUCGUGAGGAACACCAGAGGCGAAGGCGGUUACCUGGACAAUUACUGACGCUCAGGCACGAAAGCAUGGGGAGCAAAAGGGAUUAGAUACCUCUGUAGUC
This 301-nucleotide ribosomal RNA is filed under the name uncultured Pseudomonas sp. RNAcentral's name for it is "partial 16S ribosomal RNA". It matches the Rfam family "Bacterial small subunit ribosomal RNA", at positions 495 to 795 of the family's 1533-position model. Lineage: Bacteria; Pseudomonadati; Pseudomonadota; Gammaproteobacteria; Pseudomonadales; Pseudomonadaceae. The record is from RNAcentral.